This 253-nucleotide ribosomal RNA is filed under the name uncultured bacterium. RNAcentral's name for it is "partial 16S ribosomal RNA". It matches the Rfam family "Bacterial small subunit ribosomal RNA", at positions 524 to 776 of the family's 1533-position model. The record is from RNAcentral.
UACAGAGGUCCCGAGCGUUGUUCGGAAUUACUGGGCGUAAAGGGCUCGUAGGCGGCCAACUAAGUCAGACGUGAAAUCCCUCGGCUUAACCGGGGAACUGCGUCUGAGACUGGAUGGUUCGAGUGUGGGAGAGGGAUGCGGAAUUCCAGGUGUAGCGGUGAAAUGCGCAGAUAUCAGGAGGAACACCGGUGGCGAAGGCGGUUCUCUGGGCAUUACCUGACGCUGAGGAGCGAAAGUGUGGGGAGCGAACAGG